This 200-nucleotide unclassified non-coding RNA is filed under the name Hypocreales sp. RNAcentral describes it as "partial internal transcribed spacer 2". Lineage: Eukaryota; Fungi; Ascomycota; Sordariomycetes; Hypocreales. The record is from RNAcentral.
UUAAGUUCAGCGGGUAUUCCUACCUGAUCCGAGGUCAACCAUUGAAAAUUGGGGGUUUUACGGCGUGGCCGCGUCGCGCUCCAGUGCGAGGUAUAGUACUACGCAAGGGAUUGCGGCGAGGCCGCCACUGCAUUUAGGGGACGGCCGCAGGGUAGCGGCCGAGCCCCAACACCAGGCCCGCCCCCGGAAGGGGGGCCUGA